RNAcentral lists this ribosomal RNA (520 nucleotides) under uncultured Glomus. RNAcentral's name for it is "SSU rRNA". It matches the Rfam family "Eukaryotic small subunit ribosomal RNA", at positions 569 to 1092 of the family's 1831-position model. Lineage: Eukaryota; Fungi; Glomeromycota; Glomeromycetes; Glomerales; Glomeraceae. The record is from RNAcentral.
AGCAGCCGCGGUAAUUCCAGCUCCAAUAGCGUAUAUUAAAGUUGUUGCAGUUAAAAAGCUCGUAGUUGAAUUUCGGGAUCAGUACGCUGGUCGUGCCUUUGGUAUGUACUGGUGUCACUGAUUCCUCCCUUCUGAAGAACCGUUAUGCCAUUUAUUUGGUGUGGCGGGGAAUCAGGACUGUUACUUUGAAAAAUUAGAGUGUUUAAAGCAGGCUCGCGCUUGAAUACAUUAGCAUGGAAUAAUGAAAUAGGACGUUUGAUUCUAUUUUGUUGGUUUCUAGGAUCGACGUAAUGAUUAAUAGGGAUAGUUGGGGGCAUUAGUAUUCAAUUGUCAGAGGUGAAAUUCUUGGAUUUAUUGAAGACUAACUACUGCGAAAGCAUUUGCCAAGGAUGUUUUCAUUAAUCAAGAACGAAAGUUAGGGGAUCGAAGACGAUCAGAUACCGUCGUAGUCUUAACCAUAAACUAUGCCGACUAGGGAUCGGAUGAUGUUAAUUUUUAAUGACUCAUUCGGCGCCUUAAC